CCUGGAAUCAGAUCUGGCUUCCAGAGGAUGUUAAGACUUUUCCUUUCUGAGAAAGUCAGCGCCUGGAGGAGACCCAAGGCCCGGGCCCUUCUUCCCCUCAGCCGUAUCUGUCCGUCCGUAGAAAAGUGCAGUCUCAUGGGGGAACGUAUAGAAGGUGACACAUGGAGAUACUAAUGAUGGUGCCGACUGCAGUGUCAAACUGAAUGAGAAAAAAGCAGGAAAAAGGUUCGUUCAUUUCAAAUUCACAUCUGCCUUGUCUGGGUUGCAGUUUCAGGGAAAAUGUGGAAGCGGUGGCCAUUAAUUCCUUGAGGCCAGAGAACAUUACCUGACAGAUUGCUGCUCAGAUAUCUCUCCUUUCAUCCAUGUUGAUGUAUUUGAAGAAAAAAAUCCCUUGAGUCUGGUCACCUGAGCUUUCUACACUGCUGGAAUAUUCCUUUGAAUAGCAGGGCAGGAAAUCUUCCUAUAAAGUAUUACAAUCUUUCCUUCAGAACUGCUAUGAAGAAUCUUUAGGGGUGCUUUGUUAAUUAAUCUGACCAGUUUCAGAGGGAAAUCACAGACAUUCUGGGCACAUGGCUCAAAUACCAUAAUUAAAUUCUUUUUCAGAUUUAAAUGUAAAGAUGGAGGUAGUGAUGACUGCUGUUAAGAAAAAUGAGGCAAGGUAAGGAAUAGAGAAUGAUGGAGAUGGGAUGACUAUUUCAAGGUUUCUCUGAUACAGUGACAUUUGAGCAGACCCUUGAAUAAAGUGAGGGAGUGAGGUACUUAGAAAUAAGUGGGAAGAAUAUUUCAAGCGGAGGGACAAGUAAGUACAAGUAUUCCGGGAACACCGAGGAGUUCUGUCUGGCUAGAGUGGAGUGAGCCAGGGGAAAAUGUUGGGAGAUGAAAUCAGAGAACUAGGGGCAACAUCAUGAAGGGCCUUGUAGACCAAAGUAAGAACUUUGGAUUUUAAGCUAAUAAGAAGGGAAGCUAUUAUAGAAUUUUUAAUCAGAGGAAUGAUACUAUCUGGUGUAAAUUUUAAAAUAAGUGUUAAAACACAAAAUUCAGUCAAGUAAAUUUGAAGAUCUAAUUGGCUUUACUAAACGAUUCAUGAAUCUGGCAGCAUCCAAUCUAGCAAAUACAAGGGUGCUCUGAGGAGUUGUACAAAAUGGAAGGUUUUUAUAGGCAGAAGGAAGAUGGGGUAAGGAUGUUAGCAAAAGAAAAGAAAGUAUUAUCUUAGGCCAGGACAUCUCUGAGGGGAAGGGAACAAGCAAGGGUUUUAUCAUGCAGAUUGCUUCAUCCUCUGGGAGAUAGAAAGGACCCAGGUGACAGUUACCUCAUUAUUAGUGACCAGAAAAUUCCAGACUGGUUGAUUAAGAUUAUAUUUCUGAGGAAGGUCCAAACUGCAGUUAGGUUAGGUGUUAAAUCUAGGUUUGGUAUCAUGGGCUUUAGUACAAGUGACCCCAUUUUGGGUUUUGUGGUUUUUAUCUUUAACGUAAGAAAUACCCUGGUUGUUUAUUAGAUUUUAGGGUAAAUUAUUAGACUGAAGCCAGAUUGAAGGUAGAGCUAAUAGGACUUGCUUAUGGAUUGGAUGUGGCUGGGAGUGGUGGUGGAGGAUGUCAAAGAAAUUUUUAACCUGAGCAACUGAAAAAAAUGGAGUUGCCGUUUAUAGAGUUAAGGAAGGGUGGGGGGUAGAAAUAGGAAAACAAGAGUUCAGGUUGGGAGAUCUUAUAUAUGAGAUAGCCUCUAGGCAUACAAAUGGAAAUAUCCAGUGGGCAAUUGGAUAUACAAAUCUGGAAUUCAAGGGAGAGGUUGGAGUUAGAGAUAUCUAUUUAGGAGCUAUUAGUCUGUACAUGGUAUUUAAAGCAUGGAACUGGAUAAGAUCACUAGAGUGGGGUCAGCUAAAGGACAGAGGGAUCUAAGGCCUAGGGCAUCUAGUAAAAGUUUUGGAAGAUAAAUGGAAACCAGUGGAGAAGAUUGAAAAGGAGAACUGAGAGAGUAGCAUGAAAGCCAAGAGAGUGCUGUUAUGGUUGCCAAGUGAAGAAAAUGAUUUGAAAGGAAAAGAUGAUCAACUGUGUCAAAUGGUGCUUACAGGACAAGUAAGAUGAAGACUGGAUUUGGCAAAAAGGAGGCAUUGGUAAUGUUGACAAAAGAGGUUUUCAAAGAGGUGUUGGGAAGAAAACCUCAUUAGUAUGAUUUCAAGAGAGAGAAUGGGAGGAAAGGAAGUUUAGACAGUGAGUAUAAACAGGAUUUUGAAGAUUUUGUUUUAAUGCAGAGAAUAAACAUUGAAUGAUAGCUAGAGGGAAAUCUGCACAGGAAAGCUCUUUUUUAAGAUAAAGCAUAUCAUCCUGAUGCUGAUGGGAUCAUCUCUGUAGAGGGAACAACAGAUUAUCAGGAAAGAGAGGGAACAGUUUAUUAUUGUUAUUUUACUGAUUCAUUAUUAUUGCUACUAACUUUUACUGCUACUGUACAAUGAGAACUGAUAUUGAAAUUUUAUAUCCACAAACUUUAUAAAUCUCUCAAUUAUACUAAUAGCCAAUAUUUUUUGAGUGUUUACUGUGUGACUGGGACUAUUUCAAACACUUUCAGUUGUCAUUAUCUUGCUUAAUCCUCUCAAUGCCUCUAUUAUCACCCCUCAUUUAACAUAUGAGAACAUAUAAGCUUAGUAGAGUUAAGAAUUUGCUCAAAGUCAACACUGGAGCUCAAACCCAAACCCAAGUAUGACUGCUCUCAGAUGGGCCAUUAAUCUUUGCUAAACUGCCUCUGGUCAACUGUUUACUAUGCUUCACUCAGGAAGCAUUUGAGACUUUUUGUGGAGAUUUCAACAAAUAACUUUCUGGUCAUUCCAAAGUCAACCAGAAAUUUUAUAUCUUAGUGAAGGCAUGGUCUUUACUCAGAUUGCUCACUCCAUAUAUCUUACUUUUCACUUAAACGUAACUAUGAAUCUUAAAUCUCUGUGAAUGACACUGGACAUUAUGUAAGUUAAAGGGUCGUUUUAGGACAGCAAGACAACUGGUCCCCUAUUCUUAUAGUUGUCUUCAAGACCAGCAUAUGGGGGAGAUACUAAAAGAUCACUUACCAAAUUUUUUGGCCUUGGGCAGAUUGUUUAAUAUUUAUUAGUCUCAGUUUUCUCAUCAGUAAAAUGGAGAUACUGUGUACUUUGCAGGAUUAUGGCAAGGAUUGCAUACACUUGAGGGAUAAUGUGUGUAAACUGCUUAGUACUAUGCCUGGCACAAAGUAAGCACUUAAUAAUGUUCAUUAUUGUUUGUCUUCUUUCAGUAGCUUGGAAAAGGCAGUUCUUCAUUUCCAACUGUAUUCCAAGGAGCUUUGCGAAACUUACAGGGCCAAGGGAAUUCCUUAAUUGGAAGAAACUAUUGGGGGGAUUGAACAGGAAAAUAUAUUUAGAAUUUUGAGUUGUAAAGAGACUAUCUCAUGCUCCAGUUCUACUCAACCCAGUUUCAGCUGGGCACCAUAUGAAGCACGUCCUUCUCAUUAUAAGGGUAACUUACCUAGACAGCUGGUUCAGUUUAUCUUAUAAAAACAUCUUCAUGAAGCAAACAUUUUGAAAUUGUGCUAUAUUAUCACUGACCUAAUCCCAGUGUUUUUCAAACUUCUUGUAGCAGUAGAAUCCCUUCUUAUGAAUAAAAUGUUACACGGGGUCUCAAAACACGAAAUAAAUAAAGGCAAACUGCUUUGAUUGAAGCUAAGCUAGGAGUGGGGGCCCAACUCACCCUCCUCAUCAGCAGUUUCCCUUCCCCACCUCAAGUGGUCCCUAAGGCACAGCAAUGGCACUUUAGGAUUCUGUGGGGUCUAGUUUGAAAAUCACUGGCCUAAACUAUUUGGUCAUUAAGAGCAUCAAUAAAUAUAUCUUUCAAUAGUAUUUAUCAGUUGUAUACUGUAUUCCAGGCACUGUGCUGAGUGGUGAUAGGGAGACUAUGGUGAAUAAGUCAGGGCCAGCCUCAAAUUAUGUAGACUUUAAUCAUAGAGAAAUUUAUGGUAUCAAAUGACUGUAAGUCCAGAACUAGAGUGGCUAUGGAAGGCAGUAUAAUGGCUGCCCAAAGGUGUCCAAGUCCUCCUUCCUGAAACAUGUGACUAUGUUACAUUACAUGACAAAGGGGAAUUAAAGUUGCUAAUCAGCUGACCUUAAAAUAGGGAGAUUAUCCUGGGUUAUCUGGAUGAGUCCAAUGUAAUCACAAGAGUCUUUAACUGUAGAAGAGGGAGGCAAAAGAGGGGUCAGAGUCAGAGAAAGAGACAUGAUGAUGGAGCAAAAGUCAGAGUGAAUCAAUGUGAGAAGGACUCAAACUACCAUUGCUGGCUUUGAAGAUGGAAGAAGACCAGAAGCCAAGGAAUCUGGGCAGCCUCUAGGAUCUUGAAAAGAUAAAGAAAUGGAUUUUCCCUACAUUGCUAGAAAGGGAUACAUCCCUGCUGACACCUUGAUUUUUCCUCAGUAAAACCCAUUUUGGACCUCUGUUCUCUAGAACUUUAAGAUAAUAAUUUUUUGUUUGUUUGUUUAAGCUAUCAAAUUUGUAGUAAUUUGUUGUAGCAGCAAUAGAAAAUGAAUAUAGUAGUUGUCAGAGUUUGUUAAUUCAGCAACUCAAAAAGUCAUCAAUGGCAUAAACAUAGACAUAUAGACUAAUAGAAUGAAAUUGAGAUUCCAGAGGUAAGCCCAUAUAUUUAUGGCCAAUCGAUUUUUGACAUGGGUGCAAACUCCAUUCAAUUGAGAAAGAAUAUUCUUGCGACAACUGGAUUUCCACAUGCAAAGGAACGAAAUUGGACCCCUACCUCACACCAUAUACAAAAGUUAGCUUAAGAUGGGUCAACAACCUAAAUAUAAGAGCUAAAGCCAUAAAACUCUUAGAAGAAAACAUAGGGAUAAUCUUCACACUCUUGAAUUUGGCACCAAAAGUAAGAGUAACAAAAAGAAAAAUAAAUUAGACCUCAUCAAAAUUAAAAACUUUUGUACAUCAAAGAACAUUGUCAAGAAAAUGACAACCUACAAAAUAUUUGUAAAUCAUAUCUAUGAUAAAAGUCUAUAUCCAGAAUAUAUAAAGGACUCCUACAACUCAACAACAAAAAGACAAUCUAAUUAAAAUAUGGACAAAGACUUGAAUAGACAUUUCUCUAAAGAAGAGAUAUAAAUAACCAACAAGUACAUGAAAGAUGCUCAGCAUCAUUAGGCAUUAGGGAAAUGCAAACCAAAACUACAGUGAAAUACCACUUCACACCUACUCGGAUGGCUAUAAUAAUUUUUUAAAAUGAAAAUAAUGAAUAUUGGCAAAUAUGUGGACAAAUGGAAACCCUCAUAUGUUGCUGGUGGGAACGUAAAAUGCAGCUGCUGUGGAAAAGUGUUUGACUGUUCCUCAAAAGCUAGGCAUAGAAUUACCAUGAGCCAGCAGUUCCACUCCUAGGUAUAUAAUCAAAAGAAUGGAAAGCAGGGACUCAGAUACUUGUACAUCAAUUUUCCUUGCAUUAUUAUUCACAAAAGCCAAAAGGUGCUAUUGGGGAAGUGGGAGAAUUCCCCCCCUUUCUCUUAAGGUUCUUAUCACUGGUCAAAUAAUUAAAAAAGGAAGGUUAGCAGGAGAAAAUCAAACAAAAUUUAAUAGCAUGUACACAUGGGAGAAACUCAGGAGAAACCGAGUGACUCACCCAUCUGGCCGAGGCUGCUGUUUAAUCAUCUUCAGCUACAGACAAGGAGGACAUUUAGGGUAGUGAUUUAGGGCUUCAAAGGGGAGGAAGGCAAUUCACAUAGAAAUGGAAAAGCAAAUGUUUGGUAAAUAGAACUUUGAUAAGAGUGAGCUUAGCAAGGAUCCUCCCAGUGUACGGAAACCCAGAGGUAUCUAUGGGAUUGCCUGUCCUGGGAAUAGGCCUUUAUUUUAACUUUUUUUUAGGCAGUUAGUGGGGAAAGGUCGAAUGUUCUUCCUGAUUCUGAGCCUUUAUUGUCUUCAGGUCGGAAUAAUCCGCAUACCAGAGUGGCGCAUCUUGGGGCGGUCUGCCCUGAACCCCGUCAGUGCAAAUAAUCCAAGUGUCUAUCGACAGAUGAAUGGAUAAACAAAUGUAUACAUGUACAAUAGAAUAUUAUUCAGUAUAAAAGUAAUGAAGUUCUGAAGUAUUUUUUUCCACUAAACAUUUAUUAAGCUGUAAUUUUCACAAUAUUUUAAUUCUAUUCUGAAAUCUAUCUACAAAUAUCUCUAUAUGACACCAAAGCCAGUGAUUUAAUAAAUGAGAGUAAUGUAUGUAUCACUUUGCCAAAAAUAUAUGUUUGUUGCCAAACAAAACAUAUUUAUGUUUAUAUAUGAUAUUUUUAGAAUCAGUUUCCCAAGGCUCAUGGAACUAAAGUGGGCACACAUCUCACACACACACACGUACUCACCCCACUAUCUUCAAAUCAAAUGGAUUUAUAUUGUGUCAAAUUAAAUGCCAUAUAAAAUUUAUAUCCAGAUACACAAAAUAUGAAUUGAACUGCUGUUGAUAAUGGAUACCAUACCUCACUACCCUUGAACCUUGAAAACAUUGUGCUAAGUGAAAUAAGCCAGACAGAAAAGGACAAAUAUUCUAUCAUUCCACUUAUGUGAAAUAUGCCAGACACAAAAGGACAAAUAUUGUAUGAUUCCACUUAUAUGAAAUAUCUAGAAUAGGCAAAUUUAUAGAGACAGAAAGUAGAUUAGAGGUCACCAGGGGCUGGGGACAAGGGGGAAUGGGAGCUGUUGCUGAAUGGUUACAAUGUUCCUGUUUGGAGUGAUGAAAAAGUUUUGGAAAUAGAUAGUGGUGAUGGUGGCACAACAUUGUGAAUGUAAUUAAUGCAACUGAAUUGUCUCCUUAAAAAUGGUUAAAAUGGCAAAUUUUGUGUUAAGUGUAUUUUACCACAAUAAAAAAAAGUCAUCAAGGACCCAGGUCUUUUUAUUCUUUUCUCUUUGCCACCCACAGCAUCAACUUUAUGCUAAGGCUAGUUAUUUCUUCCUCAUCCUCUUCAUCCUCCUCCCUCAGACAACAGAAACUGUAACUGAGUUAUGAGAUCACUAGAACCUUAGGAGAGCAAGAUGAACUAUAUUAACAUGCAGAUCACAGGAAUGAUGCACCCGAAAACAGUGAUGUCAAGAAAAGUACCUUGAAGCCUAGGCCUGCUUUCUCAGCCUAGGCUUGCUGCCCUCCUGCUGUUCCUCUGGCAUGCUGGUCAUGGCCAGAAUCUCCCACAAUGAGAGCCCUUCUGGACAUGAUGUGAUAUUUAUGGGGUAAUGUUCAAAGGUGGCGUACUAAGAGCUGGGAGUACAAAGUUGAUCAAAAAGACAAAAGCAAGCAGAGGAAGCUGCGGUGUGGUAUUCUUAGCUCUUAUUAUAGGUUCUGCAGUAGUACGGGGGUGGGACAGUGAGCUCAGUCUUGGGAAGCCCUCUUUGAGGAAGUGAAGGCAUAAGACUUAGCCAAGUGGAGAUGUGCAAACCCCAGAAGCAAGAGGGAGCAUGGCACAUGCAGGGAGCUUUAGGUAAUUAGAGAAGGCUAGGGCACAGACUCCAUGGGAGGUAGUGGUAAGAAGAGGGAACUUGUAGGAAGGCAGGUAGAAUAGUUAGGAGGUUAUUUUAGUAAUCCAUGUGAAAGUUGAUGGUGCCCUGAAUGGAGGUAUUGACAGUGGAGAUGGAAAGAAGUGACAAAUUCAAAAGACAUAAAGGAUGUGGAAUGAAAGGAUCCGUGCUUGAUUUGGAUAUGAGGGAGUGAGAGAGUGAAGUGUCAUGUAUGGUACCUAGGUUUCUGACUUGGGCAUUUGAGUGGUAUGUUGGGGCUAGUGACAAGAGAGUGAAAUAUGAGGAAGAGAGGAGUUUGUGGGGCUUCACUUCCUACUUGGUAGCCUGCUUGGUUACCCUUCCUGGUAUCCCAGUCAGGUCUUCUAGGGAUCUAGCAUCCCUCCUGAACUCAGGCUAUUGCAAGGUCCUGACAGUCUCAUUUGUCUCUGUGAGGGCUAGUACUAUGCCCCUAGAAAUAAGUCCAUAGUCACCACUUCCAUUGGCAAGAGACCUCUCAAAUAUGGACAGAAUUCCUUGGAUCAUAGUUACAAUACUGCAGGACACUAAUGUAAGUUCCUGCCUAGAUCCCCCUAUGCAAUGCUCAGUCUGACAAACAGGCCCCUGGUACUAACAAUCUUAUGCCUGAAGUUGCUCUGACCUUUAGCAUGAUCUUGACCUAUGUCUUCACUCAGUUAUCAUCUAUUACCAGGUCAGCAGCUCUAAUAAUGAUUUUUUCUCUUUCCUUGGUGACUUAGUAUUGCUAGUGACACUGCAGCCUUAUACCAAACUGGCCCGAGUGAUAACACUGUGGAUAAUGGGGUGUGCAAGCUUAAGCAGCACCCAGAAUUCUACUUCGCCAGCUCAUCUGCCUUUGACAGAUGAACUAAAAUUGAAUAUCACUGGAGCUGCAGGAAGGGCAUACUUUCCCGUUACUUCUCUCAGAGAACACAUAACUGAAGGGUGCCCUCUGCUAAGUACCAGUGACUUUUACCUUCUUAGCUAUGAUUUGAAGCUAGUUCCUGGUCCUGCAAACUUAAAACAAAGGGCAACUGAACCAAAGAGAGACCUAAUGAGAAUUAGAAGGCUCUCAAGCCAUUAGGUUGCCUCUUAAAAUUCUUACCCGUGGUGAGUACACAACAUUCAACACCUUCGCUCCAUGUGCAGCCUCUCACUAGGCAGUUAUAACCAAUUACCUUAUGUAUGGAUUUGUCAGAGUGCUUGAGUUAAUGUGACUCAUUAAAACCUCAUGGAGAUAAGUGACUCACAGAUCCCUGCUGGCCAGAACACCUCUUCUGGUCAGGUUUUCACUGCUGACAGGCAAUGGAAACCUGACUAACCAGCAAAUUUGACAGGGUUUGAAAUGACUCAGAAGUUAAAACCUGCACAGGAACUUUAUGAAAACCUCAUGGGCUGCCAUGCUGGGGAAUCAAACCUUUUCCUAAGAAAAAGGACGUGCAGGAAAGUGUUAGAGCUGGGGGGAGCAGUCAAAAAAAAAUGUCCUGUGGCCAUUUUCCUGUAUGGAAUUGUGGUAUAGUUCUUGGCACAUUCCCCAGCCACCCCAUUUCCAUCUCCCUCCUUGAGCAAAAGUUGGAGGUCACAGAGAGGCAGAAGCAAGGCACCCAGAUAAGAAAGCAUGAGUAGUUGGUGGGGAGGGGGCUGUCAAUAUCUCUUCUCUUUUCUCAGAGAUAAUGGACCUGAGCAUUGGAGCUACCCUGAAUACGCCUGCACAUUGGGCUGUGCUAGCUCCUCCAGCCAUGGUGGAGUCGAUGAGCAGAGUGCUGGAGCUGAGGUGGACCUGAGAAAGAGCUAUGACUUCCUGGAGGCCAGUAAACUCCCUAAACUGGUAGUAGAGGAGCCAGCUGGAUUUUAAUGGCAAAAGGGAGGCUCCUGUAACAGUGGUGCUGUAUUUUAGUUAGCAGGAGCUGGAUUAUGGCAGGCCCUGCUGUUUGACACUCUGACCUGACACAUGCUGGAAUAGCCUCAGUCUUCAAGUAGCCAGCAUGGCGUCCCAAAGGGCACACACCAUGAGGUGGAGAGUUGUAACUUGUGAUGGAAGUGGUCCCAAGCAACCUCUUCCAGAUGUGUGGGGCCUUUCGUUGUCUAUUGUGUGCUUGGGGAAGUGUUCAUCAAGAGAGUUUGCAGAGAGAUCAGAGGGACUUGUUUUGGGAAGGGCUUUAGGCAGUGACACAGUCUGGCUCUGACUGAUUGUUGGAGAAAAUAAACAUUGAGCACAUCAAUGUACACAUAUUUCUUAUGUAAUAGUUAUCAUUUACUGUGCACUUACUCUCAGGAACAUUGCAUACAACUUCCCACUCUAUACUCACAAUGCUCUUAAAAGGCAUGUAUUAUUACCCCAGUUAUACAGAGGAGGUACGAAAGACUGAGGUACAAAAAGACCAAGUAAUUUGCUCUCCAAACAUGUAGUCUUAAUCACUUUUUAUGCUGUCUCCCAGUUCUGUGUGGUUCUACUAGUAGCUAAGGACUUCAUUUCUUAAAAUUAUCAGCUUAAUUUGAUGAGGAAAAUGUUUUAUUUUUUUCAGUUAACCUGUUAGACUCAGGCUGUUUAUAAUAAACAGGUUGACAUCUCCAGGUGAAGAGAAUAAAACUGAGUGAAAUACAAAUGCCUUCUCUCCUCUUUGCGUGAUGGGGACCUGAAGCUGGUUUUUGGUGGGAUUGAAUAAAGAAAUAACGCACGUGAUAUACAUGAAUAAAGCAUGCAUCCUGGAACCUAGUAGAAGCUUUAAAAAUCUUAGUUUAGUUUAUUAUACUCCAUCCUAGAGUUAUGUAAGUUAAAUCUUUAAUUAGACAGAGAUUCAAAAGAAAAUCCUAACAAAUCUAAAGAAUAUUUCAGAUUUUCUUUAAAACUGAAAGACUUUCUCAUUUGAGACAGAUUUUAAAAAGACUUCAAAAAUUUAUUCUCUCUUUCUUUUUUCAAUCACCUCUAAAUUUAGGUCUAAACAUUUUACCUGUCAGCUAUCUGUGUACUUAUACCCUUUCUUUAUAUUAAGACCGUAAACAUAGGAUAGGGAUGAAUUAGGGAGGGGUGAAUCCAGCUGUACUCUUGAGUUCACUGAACAUCUCAGAUGCUUUUUCAAAUGUUUUGGGCUCAGUGAAAUCCAAAACAGGUUUCACCCAUGCUUAUACUCUUCAGUUCAGAGCAUGUGCAAUUUAAGGGAAAUUUGAUCCAUAUGUUUCUGAUUCGUUUACACUUAAAUAGUCAAAAUAUUGUUUUUAAUAGUUAUUUGAUGCCCAAGUAGCCUUUUGAACCUUUUAAAUAAGCUUUUAGAAGCCUGCAUUUCUCUUGAAAACAGGAAAUCGUGUCUUUCCAAGGCGGUAAACUAAUUUAUACAUCUGAAAAUUCAGGUUCAGUGAAAAACACCCGAAAGCACAGGUUUUUAAUGGCCUGUCUGCUUGGCAAAUGAACACUCAGCUUUAGACUAAAUGCUAUUUGAACGCACCUACUUCUUGCUAUAUAUUUGGACUGGACAUCCAUUUCAGUUGGUGUUGGGAUGUUUUGAGUACUAGAUUUAGGGUCCUGAAGCUUGGAAUUUACCUAGUUUUUACUUUGGUACAGUUAUUUUCUGUUUUAAUUCAUUCCAGCUCUCCUAGUUAGUAGACUAACAUGGCUACUUGUUUUUCCAAGUAUUUCAUGUACAAUGAAUUCUUUUUGUGGUUUUCUUUUUUCUUCCUUUUCUUCACUGAUUGUCUUGUAUUUUUUUAAAGUAAAUCAACAUAUCUGAUUUCCAAUAAAACGAUGCAUGACUUCAACUGAGAUAUGAACACUAUCUUUUACCUGCAAGCCCAGAUACUGAGUAAAAUCAUGGUAGCCCAAAGGAAAUUAGGCAAUACACCUUGCAAAAGAAAAUAAAUAAGGAAUAAUGAGAGUUAGCGGAAAAAAAGAG
This 11368-nucleotide long non-coding RNA is filed under the name Equus caballus (horse). RNAcentral's name for it is "lncRNA (ENSECAG00000046689.1)". The record is from RNAcentral. Lineage: Eukaryota; Metazoa; Chordata; Mammalia; Perissodactyla; Equidae.